UGGGGAAUAUUGCACAAUGGGCGCAAGCCUGAUGCAGCGACGCCGCGUGCGGGAUGGAGGCCUUCGGGUUGUAAACCGCUUUUGAUCGGGAGCAAGCCCUUCGGGGUGAGUGUACCUUUCGAAUAAGCACCGGCUAACUACGUGCCAGCAGCCGCGGUAAUACGUAGGGUGCAAGCGUUAUCCGGAAUUAUUGGGCGUAAAGGGCUCGUAGGCGGUUCGUCGCGUCCGGUGUGAAAGCCCAUCGCUUAACGGUGGGUCUGCGCCGGGUACGGGCGGGCUGGAGUGCGGUAGGGGAGACUGGAAUUCCCGGUGUAAAGGUGGAAUGUGUAGAUAUCGGGAAGAACACCAAGGGCGAAGGCAGGUCUCUGGGCCGUCACUGACGCUGAGGAGAGAAAGCGUGGGGAGAGAACA
This 411-nucleotide ribosomal RNA is filed under the name uncultured bacterium. RNAcentral describes it as "bacterial SSU rRNA". It matches the Rfam family "Bacterial small subunit ribosomal RNA", at positions 355 to 774 of the family's 1533-position model. The record is from RNAcentral.